UCGUACGAAUAUUCCCCGACAGUACGAAUAUUCCACGACCAAACGAAUAUUCCCCGACAACAAUGAAUAUUUUAUAACCACUUGCUUAUUUUGAAAUAUUUGCGUAUUUUACCCAUAAUUAUCCACAUUAAUCACAUCAACCCUUACUAUUUCAAAAUAAUAAUUAGAGGAAAUUAAAUUUCAUUUAUUAAUUAUUUGGGG
RNAcentral lists this long non-coding RNA (201 nucleotides) under Panax ginseng (ginseng). Its description in RNAcentral is "long non-coding RNA (PGIN_LNC014607)". The record is from RNAcentral. Lineage: Eukaryota; Viridiplantae; Streptophyta; Magnoliopsida; Apiales; Araliaceae.